Neogale vison (American mink) is the source of this 669-nucleotide long non-coding RNA. RefSeq lists it as uncharacterized. NCBI's taxonomy places the organism in Eukaryota, Metazoa, Chordata, Mammalia, Carnivora, Mustelidae. The record is from RefSeq and is a predicted model, not a curated record. The transcript is spliced from 3 exons.
CAUUCAGAAGGUAUUUAUUGGCUGCCUACUCUGUGCAAAAUAGUGCCCUGCCCACAGGGACACAGCCAGCUGGGGAGACAAGAUACAACAUGCACGCGAAGUUUUAAAAACACUGCAAAGAACAAGGGCCCAUGCCAUCGCUUGCCAAGUGAAAUGCAGAAGGGAAGAGCUCCUGCUUGCCUGGAGUGGUCCCUUAGCCCUGUCUGAUCUGGCGGUGCUGGUGCUGGAGGAGGCCCUCCCAGCAUGUAGACCCCUGCCCCUUGCAAGCUCUCACCCUCCUCCUCUCCAGAAUGGGGACAACGAAGGGGUAUCCCACACUUAUGGGAAACAGUGGCUGCCUGUGUCGGCAAGCAAACGCACAUCCUGUCACUGGUGGAGAAGAGGGCCUUGCUGUUUUCCACACCCAUUCCAGACUUGCAAGAAAGAAAGUCUCCCCAGAAACUGGAAGGGAUCCAGAAGACAUGGGCAAACCUGCAGCUGUCCGUCAGGGUGCUGGGAUGGGGUUUUCCUGCCAAGGGACUCAGCUCGACAAAUCUGGCCACAGAAAGAACAAUAUUGGUAAACGUGUUAAAAAUAAUAGACAAUGCCGUGCAAGAUACUUGGCCCAUCUUUAGCUUCCUUCAUUUGCCUGUGAAAUAAAACAAAGAGCGGUAAGUCAGGAUUUUUUUU